AUUGAACGCUGGCGGCAGGCCUAACACAUGCAAGUCGAGCGGAUGAGGGGAGCUUGCUCCUGGAUUCAGCGGCGGACGGGUGAGUAAUGCCUAGGAAUCUGCCUGGUAGUGGGGGAUAACGUCCGGAAACGGGCGCUAAUACCGCAUACGUCCUGAGGGAGAAAGUGGGGGAUCUUCGGACCUCACGCUAUCAGAUGAGCCUAGGUCGGAUUAGCUAGUUGGUGGGGUAAAGGCCUACCAAGGCGACGAUCCGUAACUGGUCUGAGAGGAUGAUCAGUCACACUGGAACUGAGCCACGGUCCAGACUCCUACGGGAGGCAGCAGUGGGGAAUAUUAGACAAUGGGCGAAAGCCUGAUCCAGCCAUGCCGCGUGUGUGAAGAAGGUCUUCGGAUUGUAAAGCACUUUAAGUUGGGAGGAAGGGCAGUAAGUUAAUACCUUGCUGUUUUGACGUUACCAACAGAAUAAGCACCGGCUAACUUCGUG
Molecule: ribosomal RNA, 484 nt
Filed under: uncultured bacterium
Lineage: Bacteria
Description: partial 16S ribosomal RNA
Rfam family: Bacterial small subunit ribosomal RNA
Source: RNAcentral